CUUGCUUCGGCGGAACAUAUAUUAAAAUUGGAACGAUAGAGAGAAGGUUAGUGUGGCCGCUGCGAAAGGAGGGUAGCAUAUUUGAUUAGUAAACAAAACAUCCUU
This is a small nuclear RNA of Schistocerca gregaria, 105 nucleotides long. The record is from RefSeq and is a predicted model, not a curated record. NCBI's taxonomy places the organism in Eukaryota, Metazoa, Arthropoda, Insecta, Orthoptera, Acrididae.